This 463-nucleotide ribosomal RNA is filed under the name uncultured bacterium. Its description in RNAcentral is "partial 16S ribosomal RNA". It matches the Rfam family "Bacterial small subunit ribosomal RNA", at positions 339 to 795 of the family's 1533-position model. The record is from RNAcentral.
CUACGGGGCGCUCCAGUGAGGAAUAAUGCGCAAUGGAGGCAACUCUGACGCAGCAACGCCGCGUGGGGGAUGAAGCACUAUGGUGUGUAAACCCCUGUAGGUAGGGACGAACGGCACAUAUUCGUAAGGGUAUGUGUGUGACGGUACCUUCAAAGUAAGCACCGGCUAACUCCGUGCCAGCAGCCGCGGUAAUACGGGGGGUGCAAGCGUUGUCCGGAAUUACUGGGCGUAAAGGGCGUGUAGGCGGCGGGACAAGUCAGAUGUGAAAGCCCCCGGCUUAACCGGGGAACUGCAUUUGAACUGUUUUGCUUGAGUGCGAGAGGGGGUAGUGGAAUUCCCAGUGUAGCGGUGAAAUGCGUAGAUAUUGGGAAGAACACCAGUAGCGAAGGCGGCUACCUGGCUCGCAACUGACGCUAAGGCGCGAAAGCGUGGGGAGCAAACAGGAUUAGAUACCCCCGUAGUC